GAGUUUGAUCCUGGCUCAGGAUGAGCGCUGGCGGCGUGCUUAACACAUGCGAGUCGAGCGAUGAAGUUUCCUUCGGGAAACGGAUUAGCGGCGGACGGGUGAGUAACACGUGGGUAACCUGCCUCAUAGAGUGGAAUAGCCUUCCGAAAGGAAGAUUAAUACCGCAUAAUGUUGAAAGAUGGCAUCAUCAUUCAACCAAAGGAGCAAUCCGCUAUGAGAUGGACCCGCGGCGCAUUAGCUAGUUGGUGGGGUAACGGCCUACCAAGGCGACGAUGCGUAGCCGACCUGAGAGGGUGAUCGGCCACAUUGGGACUGAGACACGGCCCAGACUCCUACGGGAGGCAGCAGUGGGGAAUAUUGCACAAUGGGGGAAACCCUGAUGCAGCAACGCCGCGUGAGUGAUGAAGGUUUUCGGAUCGUAAAGCUCUGUCUUUGGGGAAGAUAAUGACGGUACCCAAGGAGGAAGCCACGGCUAACUACGUGCCAGCAGCCGCGGUAAUACGUAGGUGGCGAGCGUUAUCCGGAUUUACUGGGCGUAAAGGGAGCGUAGGCGGAUGAUUAAGUGGGAUGUGAAAUACCCGGGCUCAACUUGGGUGCUGCAUUCCAAACUGGUUAUCUAGAGUGCAGGAGAGGAGAGUGGAAUUCCUAGUGUAGCGGUGAAAUGCGUAGA
RNAcentral lists this ribosomal RNA (670 nucleotides) under uncultured bacterium. Its description in RNAcentral is "bacterial SSU rRNA". It matches the Rfam family "Bacterial small subunit ribosomal RNA", at positions 9 to 694 of the family's 1533-position model. The record is from RNAcentral.